This is a long non-coding RNA of Neofelis nebulosa (Clouded leopard), 576 nucleotides long. RefSeq lists it as uncharacterized. The record is from RefSeq and is a predicted model, not a curated record. The transcript has 4 exons. NCBI's taxonomy places the organism in Eukaryota, Metazoa, Chordata, Mammalia, Carnivora, Felidae.
ACUGUUUGGUGUGGACAUGGGAGCUCAUCUGUAAGAUUUUGCAGGUGUGAGGCCUGCCAAAUUUUCAAUAUUAUGUAGUUUCCUGAAAGGAUAUAAGCAGCAUCAGCCUUUCUUCAGAUGGUGAAGAAAAAACCCUAUUAUUCUAUCAGUGACCUUUGGCAAGAAACUGCUCUCUUGAACUGUUCAUGUCUCUGGAGUGUUUGACUAAGGUUUCUUCUGGUCAGGUCAUCGACAAUCCAAAUGUCAGACAACAAUGUGGCCAUUUUUCAUCUUGAGGGUGGUAACAGCCCCUGGGGCACUACAGUACUAUGCCUUAUGGAUUGCCUUAUGAAUGGAGUUAUUUCAGUAUCUAUGAAUCCUCAAGAAAACUGGAUCCUUCCUCUACCAGUUAAAGCCAGACCCGAGCUGCCAGAGUGAACUAAUGACUUCAGAAUGGAAGACAGAUGCUUCCUGCAGGAGAAUUCCCCUGCAGGCAGAGAACCCUUAACCAGGGCUGGUUUCAGAACUUGUGAGCCCUGGUGCUAAGUGAAAAUGGGGGACCCCUUGUUCAAAAGUCAGGGGAAAAAGUGUCAUUAA